Molecule: ribosomal RNA, 432 nt
Filed under: uncultured bacterium
Lineage: Bacteria
Description: partial 16S ribosomal RNA
Rfam family: Bacterial small subunit ribosomal RNA
Source: RNAcentral
ACGCACGCUGGCGGCAUGCCUAACACAUGCAGGUCGAACGAGACCUUCGGGUCUAGUGGCGCACGGGUGCGUCACGCGUGGGAACCUGCCCUUAGGUUCGGAAUAACUCCCCGAAAGGGGUGCUAAUACCGGAUAAUGUCUUCGGACCAAAGAUUUAUCGCCUUUGGAUGGGCCCGCGUUGGAUUAGCUAGUUGGUAGGGUAAAAGCCUACCAAGGCGACGAUCCAUAGCUGGUCUGAGAGGAUGAUCAGCCACACUGGGACUGAGACACGGCCCAGACUCCUACGGGAGGCAGCAGUGGGGAAUAUUGGACAAUGGGCGAAAGCCUGAUCCAGCAAUGCCGCGUGAGUGAUGAAGGCCUUAGGGUUGUAAAGCUCUUUUACCCGGGAUGAUAAUGACAGUACCGGGAGAAUAAGCUCCGGCUAACUCCGUG